AGACCCGAAACCCGGUGAUCUAGCCAUGGGCAGGUUGAAGGUUGGGUAACACUAACUGGAGGACCGAACCGACUAAUGUUGAAAAAUUAGCGGAUGACCUGUGGCUGGGGGUGAAAGGCCAAUCAAACCGGGAGAUAGCUGGUUCUCCCCGAAAGCUAUUUAGGUAGCGCCUCGUGAAUUCAUCUCCGGGGGUAGAGCACUGUUUCGGCUAGGGGGCCAUCCCGGCUUACCAACCCGAUGCAAACUGCGAAUACCGGAGAAUGUUAUCACGGGAGACACACGGCGGGUGCUAACGUCCGUCGUGAAGAGGGAAACAACCCAGACCGCCAGCUAAGGUCCCAAAGUCAUGGUUAAGUGGGAAACGAUGUGGGAAGGCCCAGACAGCCAGGAUGUUGGCUUAGAAGCAGCCAUCAUUUAAAGAAAGCGUAAUAGCUCACUGGUCGAGUCGGCCUGCGCGGAAGAUGUAACGGGGCUAAACCAUGCACCGAAGCUGCGGCAGCGAACGUAUCACUUAAAGCGAUUCAGCGGAUGACGAUUGACGGAGCGAAGCGACGUCAAAGCGUAUACAAAGUCGAGUCGGUUUAAGGAUACGUUCGUUGGGUAGGGGAGCGUUCUGUAAGCCUGCGAAGGUGGCCUGUGAGGGUUGCUGGAGGUAUCAGAAGUGCGAAUGCUGACAUAAGUAACGAUAAAGCGGGUGAAAAGCCCGCUCGCCGGAAGACCAAGGGUUCCUGUCCAACGUUAAUCGGGGCAGGGUGAGUCGACCCCUAAGGCGAGGCCGAAAGGCGUAGUCGAUGGGAAACGGGUUAAUAUUCCCGUACUUGGUGUUACUGCGAAGGGGGGACGGAGAAGGCUAUGUUGGCCGGGCGACGGUUGUCCCGGUUUAAGCGUGUAGGUGUGUGUUCCAGGUAAAUCCGGUUCACUUUAACACUGAGGCGUGACGACGAGGCACUACGGUGCUGAAGCAACAAAUGCCCUGCUUCCAGGAAAAGCCUCUAAGCAUCAGGUAACAUCAAAUCGUACCCCAAACCGACACAGGUGGUCAGGUAGAGAAUACCAAGGCGCUUGAGAGAACUCGGGUGAAGGAACUAGGCAAAAUGGUGCCGUAACUUCGGGAGAAGGCACGCUGACACGUAGGUGAAGUGAUUUACUCAUGGAGCUGAAGUCAGUCGAAGAUACCAGCUGGCUGCAACUGUUUAUUAAAAACACAGCACUGUGCAAACACGAAAGUGGACGUAUACGGUGUGACGCCUGCCCGGUGCCGGAAGGUUAAUUGAUGGGGUCAGCGCAAGCGAAGCUCCUGAUCGAAGCCCCGGUAAACGGCGGCCGUAACUAUAACGGUCCUAAGGUAGCGAAAUUCCUUGUCGGGUAAGUUCCGACCUGCACGAAUGGCGUAAUGAUGGCCAGGCUGUCUCCACCCGAGACUCAGUGAAAUUGAACUCGCUGUGAAGAUGCAGUGUACCCGCGGCAAGACGGAAAGACCCCGUGAACCUUUACUAUAGCUUGACACUGAACAUUGAGCCUUGAUGUGUAGGAUAGGUGGGAGGCUUUGAAGUGUGGACGCCAGUCUGCAUGGAGCCGACCUUGAAAUACCACCCUUUAAUGUUUGAUGUUCUAACGUGGACCCGUAAUCCGGGUUGCGGACAGUGUCUGGUGGGUAGUUUGACUGGGGCGGUCUCCUCCUAAAGAGUAACGGAGGAGCACGAAGGUUGGCUAAUCCUGGUCGGACAUCAGGAGGUUAGUGCAAUGGCAUAAGCCAGCUUGACUGCGAGCGUGACGGCGCGAGCAGGUGCGAAAGCAGGUCAUAGUGAUCCGGUGGUUCUGAAUGGAAGGGCCAUCGCUCAACGGAUAAAAGGUACUCCGGGGAUAACAGGCUGAUACCGCCCAAGAGUUCAUAUCGACGGCGGUGUUUGGCACCUCGAUGUCGGCUCAUCACAUCCUGGGGCUGAAGUAGGUCCCAAGGGUAUGGCUGUUCGCCAUUUAAAGUGGUACGCGAGCUGGGUUUAGAACGUCGUGAGACAGUUCGGUCCCUAUCUGCCGUGGGCGCUGGAGAACUGAGGGGGGCUGCUCCUAGUACGAGAGGACCGGAGUGGACGCAUCACUGGUGUUCGGGUUGUCAUGCCAAUGGCACUGCCCGGUAGCUAAAUGCGGAAGAGAUAAGUGCUGAAAGCAUCUAAGCACGAAACUUGCCCCGA
This 2192-nucleotide ribosomal RNA is filed under the name Salmonella enterica subsp. enterica serovar Altona. RNAcentral describes it as "partial 23S ribosomal RNA". It matches the Rfam family "Bacterial large subunit ribosomal RNA", at positions 711 to 2802 of the family's 2925-position model. Lineage: Bacteria; Pseudomonadati; Pseudomonadota; Gammaproteobacteria; Enterobacterales; Enterobacteriaceae. The record is from RNAcentral.